Molecule: long non-coding RNA, 205 nt
Filed under: Olea europaea (common olive)
Lineage: Eukaryota; Viridiplantae; Streptophyta; Magnoliopsida; Lamiales; Oleaceae
Description: long non-coding RNA (OEUR_LNC012155)
Source: RNAcentral
GGGCAUACAAGCCUUUACCUACAAUCCAAAUGGACUCACUCCAAUAAUAAACGUAUGGAUCCCAUACAUAAACCCAUCCCCAUUGCAGAACCAAUUCAAAAAUGUUUGCCAACCCUCUAAAAUUUAAGGCCAUUACACCUUCAGAUUUUCAAACAAAAAGGAAGUUGGGAUUGUGCUACAAAUGUGAUGAAAAAUAUACUAGGGA